Bombus terrestris (buff-tailed bumblebee) is the source of this 3753-nucleotide long non-coding RNA. RefSeq lists it as uncharacterized. The record is from RefSeq and is a predicted model, not a curated record. The transcript has 5 exons. Lineage: Eukaryota; Metazoa; Arthropoda; Insecta; Hymenoptera; Apidae.
AAAAAAGUACGGCUAAGGAAAUUCCAUCCUUAGACAAUAGAGCCUUGUCUAGCACUCUUUCCAGGAAAAGCGUGCUCAGAUUGCAAAGCACCUCAGAACAAAAAAAGACCAGUAAAGUAAGUUAAAUAUAAAUGGGCAUUCCAAGCGUUUGGUGAGAUUAUUUUCAAUCAAAAAUGAAUUUUUAAUCAAUAUCCAAACGUGUUACUUUGAAUAUCAAUUGUAUAAACAACAAGAAAGAAUUAAUAUAUCCUUUUAAACUUUGCACACCGCACAGAAAUACAGAACACAUUUACUCUCAAUAUAUUCUAAUAGAGUUUCAUUCGCUUGAAAAGAAACAAAAGAUUUUGUCCACAUUUCUUAAACAUGAUCGAAAUUGAUUGCAAUAUAUUUACGUCUGCAGUUUGCUAUUGAAGCAGACGAUUGUCAGACAUGUACUUACAUACGUUUAAGGCGGAUUCAAUAUUCGAAAAUCAGUUAGAAGUAAAAUUUUCAAAAUUGAAAGACAGACGUGUCUUUAUAAUUUCCAACAUCACAAAAUACUGAUCUUUUAAUGCAAACAAAAUUUUAUUUAAAUAUAUCAAACCAUACAGAUUAAAGCUCAAAAGGAGCAACUCCAAUACAAAAACCGUUUCUGAAUUCCAUUUUCAGGAAAAUGAGAAAUUCGUGUAAAUUAUAUGAUAUUUCACUGAAAAAAUUCCUAUCUUCGACGUCAAAAAAUGAUAGAUUCGAUGUGGAAUGACCCUUAUUGGAAAACAGAAGCGUGUUUCUUCAUUGUUUCAGUAUAUGCAAAUGAGUCUGAGACAUACAGGAGACGCUACCAUCUGAAACUUCUAGAUGCAGUUCGAAACUGAAAAGACUGAGGUUUUACAUUUUCUUCCUGUGAUUCUUAAUUUUCUUUAUUCGAUUUAAUUUAGUCAGCUUUUCGUAACAGCCUACACCUACCUAGAAUUAUAACUAAGCAUACAGGUAAAUAAUACAUAGAUGAUAGCACUAGAUAAUGAAAAAAAAAUAAAUAAAUAGAUAAAAAUGUAUUAACGAAUUAAAUGCUUCAGAUAGAACAUUUUAAUUUUAUAAAAGGAGCGAAAUAAGACAUUUCUAUCUAGCAAUGACUUGAAAUCAUAUUAUUGAGAUAUGUAUAAUUUUAUGUGCUAGACUAGAUUGGACUUGUGUGCGAAUAUCAGUGUGAGGAAGUAUGUGUGUGCGCGGCGUCUCGAAAACAAAGGAAUGUAAACUGUCCAGUUAACAAUCUGUUAUGGGAGAAAGUGCUGAGACGCGUGCAAAUGUGUAUCGAUGAAUAUCUUUGGAAUCGUUUAUCGAAUAAAUAUAUAACUAUUCUAAUAUAAAUUCAAAGUGUAUAUUUAGUGUUCCUAUACUAUUAUUUCGGCUAUUAAGAUCCAAUAUUCUCAACACAGAUUUAACUAAUAUUUUUAAAUAUACGUACAAUUUAUACACAAAAAUUGUUAAGAAAUUAGUGGUUUCAACAUAUGUACGUGGUAUUACAAUAAAACGUCCUAUCGAUAUUUAAAGAGAGAAUUCAAGAAUGGGAUGUAUGGAAAUACCUGGAGCCCUUUCCAACGCACUCCGAAUAGCGUUAGUCACGGCCAAUGUAAGGAACCAAGAGGGUGGCAGUAGGGCAGCAGAAAAAUCGGAAACCACCGAAAUUACUACGGAAAUGGAUGAAGUUAAAAAGAUAAGAAAGUCGGAAAUUAUCCCAAGGAUACGUCUGUUAGUUUCCAAUUGAGGGUACUUUUGCAACUGUUUCGCAGAAGGCAAUGUUGGUAGUAACUGCUAGUAAUAAAUGGAUGUUCGUGAGAUUACAGAAAUUAGGUAAUAAUUGUUAUCCGAAGAAAAUCAUGUUGAGUUUCUGAAAAAUGGUAUCUAAAUAUGUAGAUCUGAUGAAAAUUGUGAUGAAUUUCUGAAGGAUACCUAGUAUAAAUUUAUUGCACAGAAUAUCGUGUAAUUAAUAAUGCAAUUGGUAAACGGAUAUAAUUAGAUGAUGUUGAUUGUAAAGAUUUUUGACAUGGAAAAAGGAAUAGACAAUGCAGGAUAAUAUUUUUUCAUUUGAAGCUUCAUUUUCCAAGAUAAUAGUGGGUUAAGUUUAGGUUGGACUGCAUAAAAAUGUGGCUAUCUGCUCCAAAAUGAAAUGUAAUUAUAACAUAAAUUGUAUUAAAGCUUUUUGCGAAUAUCUCGGAAACUAAAGCCAAGUAGCGAUAAUAUGUAUAAAAAAGUUGUCCAGAAUGAUGACCUCGACACAUCUCAAAAUCAUGAAAAUCGGUGAACUGUGUCCUCUUAUAUGUAAUUUCUUAAAUAAGUUUUAUAUUUACAUAAUGAAAAAUAAUACGAUAUAUAUCUCAAUCUUUAUUAUUUACUUACUAAUAGUAUUAACAAGAACAUUGUUAUUGUUAACAAAACAACAACGUAUGAUUCGUAUCAUUCAUUUCCAUAAUGUAUUAUUCAAGGCUCGAACAAUUUCUCUAAAUAGUAUAACAUGAAUAUAUAUUAGCAGAUGAUAUAAUGUAGCUUUGUAAAUUUGGACAGUAAUACGGCUGAAAAUUGAGCUGACGAAGCUAAAACUUGUGGUUGUUUGAAACUAGCAACGUAUCUAGAUAUGCAUGCGUUCAAUUGCAUGCACUGGACAAAUUUCAUCGAUUAAAUCCGAAACUAAACGUAAUAUUCGAAUUAUAACUUGGAACAAUGUUUACAAGAACUACAACAAUCUAAAACAACCUUCAAGUGCUCGAUUUUCAAAAAAAUGGGCCUAGUAAGAAAUCACUUUUUUUCGUGAUAAAUCAUUAUUUGUUUGGAACAAUCUUGGACUAAUGUAGAGCAACUUGCAACAACAAUAAAAAAUCUGCCUCCUCAAAUUACCUGAUAUGUAAAAUAAUGCAUAUAAGUUUUUGUUACUAUAAUUAUAGAAUUAUAUUCUUGAUAGCAUCGAAGUAGAUUUAGUUGAAUGAUAGCAAUAGUGAGCAUUGGAUAAUUCGUAGGAAUAAAUAAAUAUUAGAAUUUUAUCUAGAAAUAUAAAAUCUUUAUAUCUGGCGUUGUCUGUGAAAACAUUCAUUAAGGAUACGUUCGUUCGCCGAUUAACACUAGAACUACCGAUAGUUAACACGAAGCUAUUUCUGCCAAAACCAGGAAAAGUGACUGGUCUUUAAAAGAUACACAAUAAUAGAAUAUUUUAAUAUUUAUUAAUUUAUUACUUUCUUACAGAAGCAAUUACAUGUUAUGUAAUACAUUUUUGGUAUAUUAAUCCGUCUGGAACCCCUAAACGAGGAUUGACACAUUUAUAAAAUUUUAGAACCAGUCACUUUCACUGGUAUUUGUAUAUAUAGCCUUCAUACGAAAUUAUAUUCAGUUUGAACACAUAAAAAACAAAAUGAAAUAAAUUAUAUUAUUCUUUUAGUUAUCGUUGUGAAAGUCAUUAUAUCAUUGCAGAAAAAAAGAUAUAGCAUAAAUAGGGAAUUUCAAAAUAAAAUUGAAAAGCAGUCAAUUUCACUGGUGUGGUAGUUCUAGUGUUAAAUAUAAUCAUUCAUUGCCCGAUAAUUAAAAGUAUACAACAAAAAUCCUUUUAGCUAACUUAUUUAUUCAGAUUACAAAUUCCUUAAAUUAAGGACAUUCCUAUUCGUUUUGACAAUAAUACCGUAUAAUAAAAGAAUCCUCUUUUCUUACUACUUCUUUAUCUACAAUACUAGAACAACCCAGAGCAAAAAUAUGAAAACUGGACACGCAUGUAAAGCUGCUUUUGCUCUUGCA